This 497-nucleotide ribosomal RNA is filed under the name uncultured bacterium. RNAcentral describes it as "partial 16S ribosomal RNA". It matches the Rfam family "Bacterial small subunit ribosomal RNA", at positions 28 to 507 of the family's 1533-position model. The record is from RNAcentral.
GAUGAACGCUGGCGGCGUGCCUAAUACAUGCGAGUCGAGCGAACAGACGAGGAGCUUGCUCCUCUGACGUUAGCGGCGGACGGGUGAGUAACACGUGGAUAACCUACCUAUAAGACUGGGAUAACUUCGGGAAACCGGAGCUAAUACCGGAUAAUAUAUUGAACCGCAUGGUUCAAUAGUGAAAGACGGUUUUGCUGUCACUUAUAGAUGGAUCCGCGCCGCAUUAGCUAGUUUGUAAGGUAACGGCUUACCAAGGCAACGAUGCGUAGCCGACCUGAGAGGGUGAUCGGCCACACUGGAACUGAGACACGGUCCAGACUCCUACGGGAGGCAGCAGUAGGGAAUCUUCCGCAAUGGGCGAAAGCUUGACGGAGCAACGCCGCGUGAGUGAUGAAGGUCUUCGGAUCGUAAAACUCUGUUAUUAGGGAAGAACAAAUGUGUAAGUAACUAUGCACGCCUUGACGGUACCUAAUCAGAAAGCCACGGCUAACUACGUG